This is a long non-coding RNA of Passer montanus (Eurasian tree sparrow), 529 nucleotides long. RefSeq lists it as uncharacterized. Lineage: Eukaryota; Metazoa; Chordata; Aves; Passeriformes; Passeridae. The record is from RefSeq and is a predicted model, not a curated record. The transcript is spliced from 3 exons.
GAGGGGCGGCGCUGCCGGGCCUGCCUGUGCGGAGCGCACCGCUGUGGUAUUGCGGCGUAGGUGUCGUGACCGUCGCCAAACCUGGAUAUGACAUUCAUUGUUGGAUCGACAGAUCGGGAUAGCGUGGUUUGAAAUGCAAGAGAACAACUAAAUUGGUGCACCACAACAGCCAUGGACACGGACCCCUCCCACAAGACCAGGUUGCCCAAGUGUCAGGGUUAUGAUGACAGACCAGACCAGACACAAGACAGAGUAGAGGAAGAAAGUGGAGAACGUACUGCUGAAAGACCAGGGAAGAUCCACAACGUGAAAUCCUUUUCCAUGGAAGCUACUACUCAACAUCAUUUCUGUAAAUAACAGCUGUAGAAUAGGCAAAGUUUUACCACUUAAGUGAAGCUUAUGCACUGCAAACAACUAAAGACAAUUGAAUUAAAAAUGGAAAUGAGCUCUACUGUAUCAGUAUGCUGCCAGGCCCACCCACCACUUAUCAAUGAGGGCGAAAGGGAGAUCUUUUAUGUCUCCAGCCUGA